AUGAACGCUGGCGGCGUGCCUAAUACAUGCCAGUCGAGCGAACGGACGAGAAGCUUGCUUCUCUGAUGUUAGCGGCGGACGGGUGAGUAACACGUGGAUAACCUACCUAUAAGACUGGGAUAACUUCGGGAAACCGUAGCUAAUACCGGAUAAUAUUUUGAACCGCAUGGUUCAAAAGUGAAAGACGGUCUUGCUGUCACUUAUAGAUGGAUCCGCGCUGCAUUAGCUAGUUGGUAAGGUAACGGCUUACCAAGGCAACGAUGCAUAGCCGACCUGAGAGGGUGAUCGGCCACACUGGAACUGAGACACGGUCCAGACUCCUACGGGAGGCAGCAGUAGGGAAUCUUCCGCAAUGGGCGAAAGCCUGACGGAGCAACGACGCGUGAGUGAUGAAGGUCUUCGGAUCGUAAAACUCUGUUAUUAGGGAAGAACAUAUGUGUAAGUAACUGUGCACAUCUUGACGGUACCUAAUCAGAAAGCCACGGCUAACUACGUG
This 496-nucleotide ribosomal RNA is filed under the name uncultured bacterium. RNAcentral's name for it is "partial 16S ribosomal RNA". It matches the Rfam family "Bacterial small subunit ribosomal RNA", at positions 29 to 507 of the family's 1533-position model. The record is from RNAcentral.